RNAcentral lists this ribosomal RNA (400 nucleotides) under phytoplankton environmental sample. RNAcentral describes it as "partial small subunit ribosomal RNA". It matches the Rfam family "Eukaryotic small subunit ribosomal RNA", at positions 587 to 987 of the family's 1831-position model. The record is from RNAcentral.
AGCUCCAUUAGCGUAUAUUAAAGUUGUUGCAGUUAAAAAGCUCGUAGUUGGAUUUCGGUGUGGGCCAGUCGGUCGGCCGCAAGGCUUGUUCACUGGCUGGUCUGCUCUCUCAAUCUCAAAGACUGCACGUGCUCUUCACUGUAGUGUGUGUCAGGAUUUGGGACGUUUACUUUGAAAAAAUUAGAGUGCUCAAAGCAGGCAUUUGCCUGAAUAGUUGUGCAUGGAAUGAUGGAAUAGGGCCUCGGUUCUAUUUUGUCGGUUCUCUGAACCCGAGGUAAUGAUUAAUAGGGACAGACGGGGGCAUUCGUAUUGCGACGUUAGAGGUGAAAUUCUUAGAUCGUCGCAAGACGAACUACUGCGAAAGCAUUUGCCAAGCAUGUUUUCAUUAAUCAAGAACGAA